GGCCUCCCAGUGCUUACCCCAGGCUGCGUUCUUACACUGACUAUACAGAAGGAGGCUGAGUAAACUCACCCCAUAUACACCUCAGCCCCAGCCCUUUCCCUGGUCUGCAGUGUGAAUGGGGACACAUGG
Small nucleolar RNA from Eptesicus fuscus (big brown bat), 129 nucleotides. RefSeq annotates it as small nucleolar RNA SNORA51. The record is from RefSeq and is a predicted model, not a curated record. The transcript has a single exon. Lineage: Eukaryota; Metazoa; Chordata; Mammalia; Chiroptera; Vespertilionidae.